UUUACUCAUUACUCUUGGGUGUUUCCCCUCCGCCAAAAAUCUGACACCGCGCCCACCCUACUACGCUUCUUCUCCUACGUUCACACUCAAUAUAACCUCUCUGUUAACUGUGUGCAGUGUGAUAAUGGCGGCGAGUUUCUCUCCUUCCCCCUCCGCGACCACUUCUCUCGCCACGGUGCCAUCUUCCGACUCUCCUGCCCAUAUACAUCUCCCCAGAACGGCAAAGCCAAACGCCUUCUCCGCACCACCAACGACGUUCUGCGCACCUUGCUCAUCCAUGCCCAUAUGCCACCCGAGUAUUGGGUUAAGGCCCUCCACACCGCAAAUCACCUCAUCAACCGGCGCCCCUCGUCCGCCAUGAACAACAACACGCCCUACUACCUCCUCCACGGCAGCCACCCCACCUACGACCACCUUCGUGUAUUUGGUUGCCUCUGUUUUCCCAAUCUCACACACCUUGCGCCCCACAAGCUCGAUGCCCGGUCCACACCAUGCGUCCUCCUUGGUUACCCCCUUGAGCACAAGGGGUACCACUGCAUGGACCUUCGCUCCCGUCGCGUUUAUCUCUCCCGGCAUGUCACUUUUGACGAGAGUAGAUUUCCCUUCGCUGAGACUGCCUCACAA
Molecule: ribosomal RNA, 624 nt
Filed under: Triticum aestivum (bread wheat)
Lineage: Eukaryota; Viridiplantae; Streptophyta; Magnoliopsida; Poales; Poaceae
Description: partial small subunit ribosomal RNA
Source: RNAcentral